GACGAACGCUGGCGGCGUGCUUAACACAUGCAAGUCGAACGGAAAGGCCCUGCUUUUGUGGGGUGCUCGAGUGGCGAACGGGUGAGUAACACGUGAGUAACCUGCCCUUGACUUUGGGAUAACUUCAGGAAACUGGGGCUAAUACCGGAUAGGAGCUCCUGCUGCAUGGUGGGGGUUGGAAAGUUUCGGCGGUUGGGGAUGGACUCGCGGCUUAUCAGCUUGUUGGUGGGGUAGUGGCUUACCAAGGCUUUGACGGGUAGCCGGCCUGAGAGGGUGACCGGCCACAUUGGGACUGAGAUACGGCCCAGACUCCUACGGGAGGCAGCAGUGGGGAAUAUUGCACAAUGGGCGGAAGCCUGAUGCAGCAACGCCGUGUGCGGGAUGACGGCCUUCGGGCUGUAAACCGCUUUCGCCUGUGACGAAGCGUGAGUGACGGUAAUGGGUAAAGAAGCACCGGCUAACUACGUG
This 468-nucleotide ribosomal RNA is filed under the name uncultured bacterium. Its description in RNAcentral is "partial 16S ribosomal RNA". It matches the Rfam family "Bacterial small subunit ribosomal RNA", at positions 28 to 507 of the family's 1533-position model. The record is from RNAcentral.